UUUAAAUAUGGCUGGGAGGCUGUUACGGUGAUCGGGUCUUAGUGCCUGUCGGCUUAACUCAUCGAGCCGCGCUCGCACGGACAGAGCGUUCCGAGUUAAGCACUGUGGACUGCGUUUCGAGUGGCGCUGCGGUAAUCGCUGAAACAACACUGGCUUUGCGACCUCCCGGGUGUCCUUCCCCGUCAUACGAACCUCAGAACUCCCUUCUGUUCUUGUCAUGUAUGAAAACCUGGCAGCGGGACUCUGCGGGGGGUCUAAGUGUCCCACAGUGGCGCUGUACCCCCUGGCUGGACCUGAUCAAAGUGAAGCAGGUACAGUAUACUAAGGUUCACCGUGUUCGUGGCAGCUCUGUGAGGAGGCCACCCCACUCUGCAUGCUCCUUGUUGUUCCAGGCUGCCUCUUCAUGGGAACUGACUCAACAAUGGCACAGAUAUUAG
Molecule: long non-coding RNA, 437 nt
Filed under: Scleropages formosus (Asian bonytongue)
Lineage: Eukaryota; Metazoa; Chordata; Actinopteri; Osteoglossiformes; Osteoglossidae
Description: lncRNA (ENSSFOG00015030677.1)
Source: RNAcentral